RNAcentral lists this unclassified non-coding RNA (260 nucleotides) under Ambisporaceae sp. RNAcentral describes it as "partial contains 5.8S ribosomal RNA and internal transcribed spacer 2". The stretch from base 1 to 71 matches the Rfam family "5.8S ribosomal RNA", at positions 84 to 154 of the family's 154-position model. Lineage: Eukaryota; Fungi; Glomeromycota; Glomeromycetes; Archaeosporales; Ambisporaceae. The record is from RNAcentral.
GUGAAUCAUCGAAUCUUUGAACGCAUAUUGCACUCUCUGGUAUUCCGGAGAGUAUGCCUGUCUGAGGGUCAUUAAAAAGAAUAUUUUACCAAUUUUUUUUGGUCAAAGGAAAUGAGCUCUCCGCGUUUAUAGCGGUAGCUUGAAAUAAAUGGUCAAGUUUCUUUUUAGUCGAGACGCGUAAUAAUAUUAUUUCGCGAAAUCUUAAUUAUGUGACUAUCAAGUUUUAAUGCAUUUAAAUUGGGUUUUGUUGGGAUCAAUAC